CUAAGAUAUUUUUAGAAACUGGGAUUUUUUCUCUGACUUGAUGAAAUGAGGACUUUUCACAAGUUUUGUUUUCCAAGUCAGUUGUUAAUUUCUUUGCAUGGAUUCAGCAUGCCUAUUAAUUUACCAUUAGCUCAAUUUUUGCUCUUUUGCUCAUUAUUAAGCAAAUUGUUGAUACAACUUUAUGUACAGAAUAAUGUGAUAUAAAGAAAAAACAGAUUAGUAAAUGGCCAAAUUAAAUUUUUUAAUCCAUAUAAAUAACUUUACUAUUUGUUACUCAUGUUGAAAUCCUUAUUGGAUAUUACAAACUUAUACUUUUUGAUCAGACAGAAUUCAUUGUUUGAAAUAUAUAAGAGAGAGCAGGUUUAAAAAGUCAGAAUUUGUAGAAAAAUUCAAAUCCUUAAUUUUAAAUAUUUUUUUUGUCUUAGGUGUAAGCGAAUAUGAAAUUGAAUUUAAUUGUGUUUACAAUAUUUUUUAUGUUCUUAAGUUCAGCUCUAACUAAACGCUACUUAGUUGAAACCAUGGAAGGCUGGGGACUAUAACCAAAGAUGGGGUCAAUGUCCUAGGAUGGUGAAUUGGUGCUGAACUGCUGUCUGACUAUCAGCUGGCUAUAAAUCAGCUGACUGAUAAUCAGCUAACUGAUAAUUAGCUGACUGAUAAUCACCUGACUAACAUUCAGCUGACUGAUAAUCAGCUGACGGAUAAUCCACUGAUUGCUUAUCAGCUGACUGAUAAUCCACUGAUUGCUAAUCAGCUAGCCACUGAUAAAAAAAUGUAAUUUAAAUAUAUUUUAUUCAAUAAACAGUUUGCAUUCUUA
This is a long non-coding RNA of Eurytemora carolleeae, 814 nucleotides long. RefSeq lists it as uncharacterized. The transcript is spliced from 2 exons. Lineage: Eukaryota; Metazoa; Arthropoda; Copepoda; Calanoida; Temoridae. The record is from RefSeq and is a predicted model, not a curated record.